AAAGAAACCAACAGGGAUUGCCCCAGUAACGGCGAGUGAAGCGGCAACAGCUCAAAUUUGAAAUCUGGCUUCGGCCCGAGUUGUAAUUUGCAGAGGAAGCUUUAGGCGCGGCACCAUCUGAGUCCCCUGGAACGGGGCGCCACAGAGGGUGAGAGCCCCGUAUAGAUGGACGCCUAGCCUGUGUAAAGCUCCUUCGACGAGUCGAGUAGUUUGGGAAUGCUGCUCUAAAUGGGAGGUAAAUUUCUUCUAAAGCUAAAUACCGGCCAGAGACCGAUAGCGCACAAGUAGAGUGAUCGAAAGAUGAAAAGCACUUUGAAAAGAGGGUUAAAUAGCACGUGAAAUUGUUGAAAGGGAAGCGCUUGUGACCAGACUUGCGCCGGGCGGAUCAUCCGGUGUUCUCACCGGUGCACUCCGCCCGGCUCAGGCCAGCAUCGGUUCUCGUGGGGGGACAAAGGUUCCGGGAACGUAGCUCCUCCGGGAGUGUUAUAGCCCGGGGCGUAAUGCCCUCGCGGGGACCGAGGACCGCGCUUCGGCAAGGAUGCUGGCGUA
Molecule: ribosomal RNA, 549 nt
Filed under: Botryotrichum sp.
Lineage: Eukaryota; Fungi; Ascomycota; Sordariomycetes; Sordariales; Chaetomiaceae
Description: eukaryotic LSU rRNA
Rfam family: Eukaryotic large subunit ribosomal RNA
Source: RNAcentral